RNAcentral lists this small RNA (276 nucleotides) under Mycobacterium sp. RNAcentral describes it as "Magnesium sequence". It matches the Rfam family "M-box riboswitch aptamer (ykoK leader)". From Rfam's summary of the family: M-box riboswitch, also know as ykoK leader is described as a metaloregulatory RNA that sense divalent metals and function as a genetic control element of genes related to divalent metal transport in bacteria. Lineage: Bacteria; Bacillati; Actinomycetota; Actinomycetes; Mycobacteriales; Mycobacteriaceae. The record is from RNAcentral.
CAAGCACCUCGGUAGGUGAGGCGUCUGCACGGAUACAGGCCACUGACCCCGAACGUCGAGAGACGCCCCGGGUCAGGACAGCUCUUCCCGGACCCAAGGGUUGAGCCCAAGUGGCUUCUGGACGAGGAGCGAUCGCAAGCGCGGCGAAGCCGGGCGCAGCGGGUCGCGACCAUCGGAGCGAUCGCAAGCGCGGCGAGGCCGGGCGCAGCGGGUCGCGACCAUCGGCAAUUCCAGAUACGCCGUGCAGUGCCAAAGCUCCGACGAGAGAGGUGCAGC